RNAcentral lists this ribosomal RNA (509 nucleotides) under uncultured bacterium. RNAcentral describes it as "bacterial SSU rRNA". It matches the Rfam family "Bacterial small subunit ribosomal RNA", at positions 28 to 509 of the family's 1533-position model. The record is from RNAcentral.
GACGAACGCUGGCGGCGUGCCUAAUACAUGCAAGUCGAACGGUCUUUUCUAUGGAAGCUUGCUUCCACUGAGAAGAUAGUGGCGAACGGGUGAGUAACACGUGGGUAACCUGCCCGUAAGAGGGGGAUAACAUCCGGAAACGGGUGCUAAUACCGCAUAGUUUUCUUGAUCGCAUGAUCGGGAAAGGAAAGACGGCCUUUGUGCUGUCGCUUAUGGAUGGACCCGCGGCGUAUUAGUUAGUUGGUGAGGUAAUGGCUCACCAAGACGAUGAUACGUAGCCGACCUGAGAGGGUGAUCGGCCACAUUGGGACUGAGACACGGCCCAAACUCCUACGGGAGGCAGCAGUAGGGAAUCUUCCGCAAUGGACGAAAGUCUGACGGAGCAACGCCGCGUGAGUGAAGAAGGUUUUCGGAUCGUAAAACUCUGUUGUCAGAGAAGAACAAGUUGGAGAGUAACUGCUCCAGCCUUGACGGUAUCUGACCAGAAAGCCAACGGCUAACUACGUGCC